UAGCAGGGUGAACAAGGUAGUUAUUCAAUUGAUUGAUUUGAGGUUGUAAACAAUUAUGAGAAAGCGUUAAAUCUAUGGCAGGUUAUCAUGAUUAUAGAGAUAUAGAAUACUUAGGUUUUCAAUCCUAGAACUCGAAUUCUUAUGAGAAAGUAUUCCAGCUUUUGUGUAUUCCAACUUCCGCUGUGAAUCAAAUCUAUUGACUAAGUCCAAUAUCUCAGCUAUUGCUUGUUAAUACGAAUUGAACGUCGAUCGAUGCUAUUGAGUUAGCGUUGAUCGAUGUUUACUUAGACAAGCUUUACCGAGUUGAUCGAUAGGUUUACUAGUCUUAACUAAAUUAGCUUUCGCUUGUUUCUAGCAAUCCUAGCUCAAGGGAAUCUAUUCUGGUGCAGAACCUACCGUUGUAGUUGUUCACAAUCCUAAAAUCAGGGUUUUAG
This 434-nucleotide long non-coding RNA is filed under the name Brassica napus (rape). RNAcentral's name for it is "long non-coding RNA (BNAP_LNC011562)". Lineage: Eukaryota; Viridiplantae; Streptophyta; Magnoliopsida; Brassicales; Brassicaceae. The record is from RNAcentral.